This is a long non-coding RNA of Oncorhynchus tshawytscha (Chinook salmon), 1556 nucleotides long. The record is from Ensembl. NCBI's taxonomy places the organism in Eukaryota, Metazoa, Chordata, Actinopteri, Salmoniformes, Salmonidae.
AUUUAGGAUAAGGUAUAAUAAUUUAACCUGCACCAUUGUUUCUGUGAAUAAUUGAGGUCUGAAAAGGGACAUUUGAAAGACAGUGCAGGCAUAUGUUAUAUUCAAUAUGGGUUCCUAGGAUCAUAUUACAAACAAAAAAAACAACAAUAUUCGUAUAAAACGAGUUACAUAUUUUUAAUUAAUUAUCCCUCCCCCCAAAAAUCCAUAAUCACAUAAAACAAUUCAAAACCAAUUUCUCACUUUUCAAUGUUUUAAGAUGUUGAGGCAUACAGCACUAUCUUAAUAAAUCACUUUUCCUACAGUCAGACAACUACUUAGAGUUGAAAAUCUAAUUAUAUUAUUGGACAGGGUGUCAUUAAGUACACUUGUUCACAUUAUUUCCUGUAUGUGGCACAAAAAUAACAAAUAAUAUAUCCACUUAAGCCCACGGCUAGGGCCAUGGUAAUAUAUCCACUGAAUGGAGGCCAUGGUAAUAUAUCCACUGAAUAGAGGCCCAUGGCUAGGGCCAUGGUAAUAUAUCCACUGAAUGGAUGCCAUGGUAAUAUAUCCACUGAAUGGAGGCCAUGGUAAUAUAUCCACUGAAUGGAGGCCAUGGUAAUAUAUCCACUGAAUGGAGGCCCAUGGCUAGGGCCAUGAUAAUAUAUCCACUGAAUGGAGGCCCAUGGCUAGGGCCAUGGUAAUAUAUCCACUUAGAGGACCAUGGCUAGGGCCAUGGUAAUAUAUCCACUUAGAGGACCAUGGCUAGGCCCAUGGUAAUAUAUCCACUUAGAGGACCAUGGCUAGGCCCAUGGUAAUAUAUCCACUUAGAGGACCAUGGCUAGGCCCAUGGUAAUAUAUCCACUUAGAGGACCAUGGCUAGGCCCAUGGUAAUAUAUCCACUUAGAGGACCAUGGCCAGGGCCAUGGUAAUCUGAAAUAUUUGAAAAAUAAAAUAAAUGAUCACAGCACACACUUUAAGUGAUCAUCCCCACACAGAGUCAGCUUCUCUCCAGUGGAGAACAGAGUAACCAGCCUAAAGACUAAAGAUCAUUUCCCUAUGAUCAAAUUAAAACGUUUUUUAAAAAAUUUUUUAAAUACCCUCUAAGAACGGCUCUAUUCAUUCUUUCCAUCAACUGAAUUUCUGACAACUGAUUCAUUUAGUCUGGAUUUAUGUUGGGGGGUAAAACCAAGGAAACAUGACACACUCACAAGAUGGAUGACAGCCUUUGGCUUUACCAUUCCAAAUCACAAAUCUCAACACAUCGAAUCUCUAUCCAUGUGCGUAUCAGCUACCAGUAGCAGAAUGACAAGACAAACUUCCACUGGAAUCUCUCGCGGGGCACAGCGCUUGUUUUGUGUCCGGGGGGGGGGCAUCUACGGUCUUCUAGGCGGAGCCGACCUGUGUGACGUGGCGUCUCCGAUCUUCUAGGGGAGCCGACCUGCGUGUGUGUUUCUGGUCUAGGGGGAGACAGAGCUGGCCUCCUGGUAGAUGAAGGAGUAGAGGCUGAUGUCAGGACGGCGGGUGAAGCAGCUCUGACACAUUGAGCUGUAGUACUGACCCAGCAAACUGUACAGAGC